UAAAUACCGCCACCGGGUGGUUAAUUGCAGAAGCAUUCGUUUAUACAUCGUUAGGUCUUUGAAGAUGUAUAAAACGGGUGCUUUUUUUGA
Molecule: non-coding RNA, 90 nt
Filed under: unclassified sequences
Source: RNAcentral